This 1433-nucleotide ribosomal RNA is filed under the name metagenome. RNAcentral describes it as "bacterial LSU rRNA". It matches the Rfam family "Bacterial large subunit ribosomal RNA", at positions 1472 to 2925 of the family's 2925-position model. The record is from RNAcentral.
UCACGUAAGGAAAGCGGAAGCCGGGAAUGGAAAGCCCGGUGCAAGCGGGGUACCAGUCACUUUGGCAAAUCCGGGUGGCAAUGGGAAGCCGUGAUGCGGAGCGAAAUAAAGUAGCGAAGUCCGUGAGCCAUGCGUCAAGAAAAGCCGCUAUCGUUUAUAUCGUACCCGUACCGUAAACCGACACAGGUGGAUGAGGAGAGAAUCCUAAGGCCGGCGGAAGAAGCAUUGUCAAGGAACUCGGCAAAAUGGCCCCGUAACUUAGGGAUAAGGGGUGCCUGGGAAACCAGGCCGCAGAGAAUAGGCUCAAGCAACUGUUUAGCAAAAACACAGGUCUAUGCGAAACCGAAAGGUGAGGUAUAUGGGCUGACGCCUGCCCGGUGCUGGAAGGUUAAGAGGAGAGGUUAGCGCAAGCGAAGCUUUGAAUUUAAGCCCCAGUAAACGGCGGCCGUAACAAUAACGGUCCUAAGGUAGCGAAAUUCCUUGUCGGGUAAGUUCCGACCCGCACGAAAGGCGUAAUGAUUUGAGCGCUGUCUCGACAAUGCAUCCGGUGAAAUUGAAGUACCAGUGAAGAUGCUGGUUACCUGCGCCAGGACGGAAAGACCCCAUGGAGCUUUACUCCAGUCUGGUACUGGGACUCGGUAUUGCAUGUACAGGAUAGGUGGGAGGCUAGGGGAUGGUAACGCCAGUUGCCAUGGAGCCGCUGUUGGGAUACCACCCUUGCAGUAUUGGGUUUCUAACCAGCCGCCGUGACCCGGCGGUGGGACAAUACCAGACGGGGAGUUUGACUGGGGCGGUCGCCUCCGAAAGGGUAUCGGAGGCGCCCAAAGGUUCCCUCAGAAUGGACGGAAACCAUUCGAAGAGUGCAAAGGCAGAAGGGAGCUUGACUGCGACACCGACGGGUGGAGCAGGUACGAAAGUAGGGCUUAGUGAUCCGGUGGUAUUAAGUGGGAAUGCCAUCGCUCAACGGAUAAAAGCUACCCUGGGAUAACAGGCUUAUCACUCCCAAGAGUUCACAUCGACGGAGUGGUUUGGCACCUCGAUGUCGGCUCAUCGCAUCCUGGGGCUGUAGUAGGUCCCAAGGGUUGGGCUGUUCGCCCAUUAAAGCGGUACGCGAGCUGGGUUCAGAACGUCGUGAGACAGUUCGGUCCCUAUCCGGCGUGGGCGUAGGAUAUCUGAGAGGAGCUGUCCUUAGUACGAGAGGACCGGGAUGGUCGGGCCGCUGGUGCAUCGGUUAGACUGCCAAGUCUACGGCCGAGUAGCCAAGCCCAGAAGGGAUAAACGCUGAAGGCAUCUAAGCGUGAAGCCCCCCUUAAGAUGAGAUAUCCCAUUCGUUAAGAAGUAAACCCCCUUGAAGACGACGAGGUAGAUAGGGCAGAGGUGGAAGUGCAGCAAAGCAUGGAGCUGACUGUUACUAAUCGGGUGAGGGCUUGACC